Molecule: ribosomal RNA, 497 nt
Filed under: uncultured bacterium
Lineage: Bacteria
Description: partial 16S ribosomal RNA
Rfam family: Bacterial small subunit ribosomal RNA
Source: RNAcentral
GAUGAACGCUGGCGGCGUGCCUAAUACAUGCAAGUCGAGCGAACGGAUGAGAAGCUUGCUUCUCUGAUGUUAGCGGCGGACGGGUGAGUAACACGUGGAUAACCUAACUAUAAGACUGGGAUAACUUCGGGAAACCGGAGCUAAUAACGGAUAAUAUUUUGAACCGCAUGGUUCAAAAGUGAAAGAAGGUCUUGCUGACACUUAUAGAUGGCUCCGCGCUGCAUGCGCUAGUUGGUAAGGUAACGGCUUAGCAAGGCUACGAUGGAUAGCCGACCUGAGAGAGUGAUCGCCCACACGGGAUGUGAGACACGGUACAGACUCCUACGGUGGGCAGCAGUAGGGAAUCUUCCGCGAGGGACGAGAGCCUGACAGAGCAACGCCGCGUGAGGGAUGAAGGUCUUCUGAUCGGUAAACUCUGUUAUUAGGGGAGUUCAAAUGUGUAAGUAACUGUGCACAUAUUGACGGUACCUGAUCAGAAAGCCACGGCUAACUACGUG